RNAcentral lists this ribosomal RNA (588 nucleotides) under uncultured bacterium. RNAcentral's name for it is "partial 16S ribosomal RNA". It matches the Rfam family "Bacterial small subunit ribosomal RNA", at positions 355 to 1375 of the family's 1533-position model. The record is from RNAcentral.
UGGGGAAUUUUGGACAAUGGGCGAAAGCCUGAUCCAGCAAUGCCGCGUGUGUGAAGAAGGCCUUCGGGUUGUAAAGCACUUUUGUCCGGAAAGAAAUCCUUGGCUCUAAUACAGUCGGGGGAUGACGGUACCGGAAGAAUAAGCACCGGCUAACUACGUGCCAGCAGCCGCGGUAAUACGUAGGGUGCAAGCGUUAAUCGGAAUUACUGGGCGUAAAGCGUGCGCAGGCGGUUUGCUAAGACCGAUGUGAAAUCCCCGGGCUCAACCUGUGAACUGCAUUGGUGACUGGCAGGCUAGAGUAUGGCAGAGGGGGGUAGAAUUCCACGUGUAGCAGUGAAAUGCGUAGAGAUGUGGAGGAAUACCGAUGGCGAAGGCAGCCCCCUGGGCCAAUACUGACGCUCAUGCACGAAAAGCGUGGGGAGCAAAACAGGAUUAGAUACCCUGGUAGUCCACGCCCUAAAACGAUGUCAACUAGUUGUUGGGGAUUCAUUUCCUUAGUAACGUAGCUAACGCGUGAAGUUGACCGCCUGGGGAGUACGGUCGCAAGAUUAAAACUCAAAGGAAUUGACGGGGUCAUAGCUGUUUCCU